GCUCAGAAACCAACCAACUUGAGCAGACCUGAAGCUGCAUCUCUUGUGAUCUGAUCUUCACAGAGAAGAAUGCACAGGUUCCUGGGGGUGUCGAUGGUGACACUGUGGCUGCAACUGACAAGGGUGAACAGUCAACUAGCAGAAGAGAAUCCUUGGGCCCUGAGCACCCAUGAGGGUCAAAAUGUCACUGUGAAUUGUAGUUACAAGACAGCCAUAACUACCCUACAGUGGUACAGACAGAAGUCAGGCGGAGGCCCUGCCCUGCUAAUGUUACUACGUUCAAAUGAGAGAGAGAAGCACAGUGGAAGACUAAGAGCCACCCUUGACACCUCCACCCAGAGCAGCUCCCUGUCCAUCACUGCUGCUCAGUCUGAAGACACUGCUGUGUACUCCUGUGCUACAGAUGCACAGUGUGCGGCAGGCACCUGCAGUCCUGACACAAACCCUCAGAGCUGCUUCCUAGACCUUAAGGGUAGGUCAUGUGCUUCUGUGUCAUCCAAAAGUAAUUCUGUUAAGUUUGCAAUUCUUUUUUUUUAAACUUUAUUUUCCUAACCUGUGUUGCA
Apodemus sylvaticus (European woodmouse) is the source of this 563-nucleotide non-coding RNA. Lineage: Eukaryota; Metazoa; Chordata; Mammalia; Rodentia; Muridae. The record is from the annotation of a RefSeq genome assembly.